Molecule: long non-coding RNA, 4239 nt
Organism: Herpailurus yagouaroundi (jaguarundi)
Lineage: Eukaryota; Metazoa; Chordata; Mammalia; Carnivora; Felidae
Exons: 3
Source: RefSeq, a predicted model, not a curated record
CACCCCAGAGCAAGCUGAUUUUUAAAGUUCUGGGUUUUAAGCCCCACUGAUUGUAAGAACUGAAAUUUGGCCCCUUUGGUUUUCACGGCCAAAUGUUAUGGGGAUUUGUCGUUCGCAUGUGGGCUUCCCAGUGUAAGAGUGUAUUUCUGUCCCCUCUCUGCAACCUGCAGUGUCCUUCCAGCGGGCAGUCCCACGGUCUGUUUAGCUCCCAACUGUGUCUCUGCCCUUCCUACACUCUAUGUGGCCUCUUGUCUACCUUUAGCUGUGGAAAGACUGUUCUUCCAGCCUUUGUGUCAUUUUCUGGGUUAUUUGCACUGAUGUGUCUGUUACCUAGUUGUAUCUGUGGGGCAAUGUGAGCUUAGGGUCCUCCUACUCCUCCACCUUCCCUGGAAGUCUGGCUUUCAUUUCUUAAUGGUCCCUGUGGUUAUGCCUCCUUCUCAGGAUUAUUUCAUAUUCAGCCUGCUCCUGCCAAGACAUCCGUUUCCUUCCAGUCUGUGAACCUGAAAAUGUUAUAGUCAGCAUUUCACUUGUUCUUGUAAAUCUUAUUUCUUCAAUUCCCACUUGUUACUAAACCAGUUGUAUUUUUACUCCUUAGUACAAAACUACACCAUGCUGUUGCAUGUGGUAAGAGAUGUUCACAGACUGGCCAAGUCGCCCCAGUGCAGAGAAACGAGAUGCCCCUUGUGUUUUCCUUUUGUUUCAGGGUUUGGGAACUGGAUGAGCUCAAGUUUUUGGCUUUAACAACUUAGUGUGAAAAGUCCAAGACCUGUUGUCGGAGCUCGGAAUGCUUCCUUCCUGAUAAUGGGAAGAUGGGGUCCACCUUUGGGUGAUUCUUAAAUUUGCCAGUUGAUGGGACGCUGUAUCAAUAGCUAAUAAUUAUUGUUAAGUACACAAUGCCUAUGAGGCAGGGACUGUUCUUAUCCACCUUUUACAUCUGGGGAAACUGAGGCACAGGCUGACUUGGUUUACCCAGUGUGGCUCAGCUAUAAACAUAGAACACAGACAUAAUUUUUAAAUGGCUGUAUCAUUUUAUCCUUCUCCUCUGCUUGAGAUGAUUCUGAGUUUCUAGCCAGGAAAAGCGCAUAAAGUUUUCAGAAUGUUCAUUGAAACAAAACCUGUUUUACAACAGCUACAACAAAAACUGUAUAAGGGGCAGGAUUGCCCGUAGAGUGUGUGGGCCUGGGCAAAUUAUUUCUGUGGGUAUCCUGUGUACACAAGCAAUUUAAGACCGCCUCAAAUCAAUAUUCCAGCACCAUUCUGGUGACCCAAUUUCACAUGAUCCCACAAAAAAAACUAAAAUACUGUGCUGGUCAUCAGGAACAAACUGUUCACCAGGAAGCUCUUCUAGAAGCCAGCUCAGAUCCUAUAGGUGUGGGUUCUGGAGCUCUUUGGGGGCAUCUGGCCAACCUUACGCUCUAAAGGGACGAAACGGGAACCAGCUGGUCCCGGCCACCAGAGGGGACCAUGGGGAGGCACUUCCGGGAGCCAGAACCCAUGCAGGACCCUGUAUGUGCUUGGGACACCCCACCCACAUGGUACGAUUGGUUCCAGGCACUGGAAGUGGGGCUUGGCAAGUCCCCAAGAAGGCAUUCCAAAGGCAAAGUUGUGGUGUUGGUAGAGGGGUCCUGAAGCACAGGGCCCGGGGCAGGGAUCCUGACCAGGGUAGAGCUGACCAGUGGGUGAAGUUUGAGCAAUAUUAAGACUAAACAGCAAUCACUUCCAAACUCUUAGGUGCUUUAGCUAUAAGGGGGGAGGGUGGGGGUGAGGGAUGGAAAGCUGUUGUCAGGAGGAAGCCAGCUGGAAAGUUCUAGUAUUUAAAUAUUCUCUUUGUGGGUUUGGUAAAAGACACUUUUCGCUUUUAAAUUGUGUAAAAUGUUCAAACAAAGAAUUGCUUUUCCUUUCAAGUGGCCAGCUCAGCCCAGCUGUCUGUGAAUGCUCUGCAACCCUCUGUGAGCUGGCCCAGGGUGGACAUUAGACAUCUUCUUUACCUAGAUGCCCUUCUCAACAGGUUUAAAGACCGAUUAUGGCAGAGCUACCCUGAUGGGAGCAGGGAGAGAAGUGGACAAAGCUAGGUUGACCUCCUGACGCUGCCGCUUUGGGCAGGUGGGUUCUGAGCCCCGGUGCUAGAUGGAGGGAUAGCAUCUUGCCUACCCCCUGGGGCUGAGACCAGGAUUAAACCUAUACGGGGUAUCUGUAUGAACUCAAAAUGUAAAAGGCAAAUUUGAGCAGCAUCUCUAGAGAAGAAAAGAUACACCAAAGCACUCACUGCUUUCAGCUGUUUUAUUGCUAAACUAUCAUGAUAUAAGCCGUAUAAAAAUACUUUACAUAUAGCAAAAAUAAACUACAUUAAACUGGAGAUUAAAAACAUUUUGCAUAGGAAUGUGAUGUAUUCAAACUUCCUUAACAGUCAAGAUUUUUAAAACCUAAGCCUUCCAGCACCACCCUGUUGGAGAGAAUUCUGUUUGUUGGAGAACUACUUACGGCAUGGUCAACAUUUUCUCCCCUCUGAGGGCUGUAGAGGCAAUGGGGGUAAGGGAGGUUCUUUGACAAGGUGCUCAGGGUCUAAACUUGUCCCAAGGGCAGUGCCGAAAGCCCGUGCCCUAAUGGAAAAUGUAUCCUUUGCUUCCGAUGCGUCCAACCCGGGACGGGGCAGGUGUUUGGGCUGCCGACAGCUGCAUGAAGGCAGGGUGUUAAACGUUUUUUCCAACGCCCAACAUCCCGUCUCCUUUUCAGAGGGGCUCGCUUAGGGACCAUCUCCAGCUCACCAUCACAGAAACGUUUGUUUUUAAACAAACUGAGUUAAGAUGGUGACGUUGGCUAUAACUGAAGGUACUCCCGACAGCGGAGGGAAACUGAUGUUUGCAAUCACAAUCCUUUGUGACACUUCUUAAGCAUGUAGCUGGAAUGCAGGAAAACCCGUGCAUUGGCUGGUUUGGCUCCAUGAGGUUUAAGGCCUAAGCCCUGGGCUUGGAAGACUGGCGGUUAGGAUGUGUUGGGUACCUGCUAAAGGGUCAUCCCUCCAAAAAAAAAAAAAAAAAAAAUGGAUGCCGGACCUUGUCAGGAAUGUCCCAACCCCCAUGCCUCCUGUAAACGUGAACAAAAUUGUUAGCCGGACCUCUGACGGUCUUUCAACUGUGAGUAGAAAGCACUUGGGAAGCAUUUUUUGACAUGAAAACAAACACAUUCAGCCUCCCUUUAGUCUGUUGUAACAACCAGAACAUAUCCGCUUCCAAUCUAAAUGUUGCAGCUCCCACGCUGGCCAAGACGGACUUCCUGAGACCGACGUCUUGGCUACUGGAUGUAAACGAGAAAGGCCCCAUCAGUGCUUUCCAGUUUUUCGAAGGAACCAUCCUGAUUCAUCUAGGGUGUGUCUAUGCUGGAAAACUCUGCAUGUCCUUUGGAUAAUGCAUACAGGGGUUACCUAGCGGGAUUUGGUCAGCUCUGUAAACGGUAGCCUGCACCCAGGGUUCUGUGAACUUUGCGAAGUCUUUCAGAAUCCCGUUACCACACAGGCGGUUUUGGUUUUAACUCACGAUCACCUACUAGGCCACUUCUUUGGGGGAUCUAAACACUUUACAAGACAGUUCUCCUCCGUGACCAGACGCAGGCUCAGAGGUGAAGUCCGUGUCCUCUCUGGCAACAGAUGGUUCCUUUUUCCACAAAGCCAUCCCCCUUCUUUCUCCAAAGAUGCUUUCUUCUAAGACUCAGGUGACUGAUAAACUCUGAGGGGUGUGUGAUAUUUUCGGGACAGAUAAAAAGCAUAAAAAUACAGAUCUGAGAAAUCACGAAGCAGAGCCUUUCGAAGAGCGCCGGGACCUCUGCAUUCUGUUGUUGAUUACGGGGGAAGAAACCGAAUGGCCGAAAACGAAUCCCUGGCUUGUCCCGGGGUGUCCACGGUACAUGCAAACAGGAGCGCAUCUGGGCCAUGAGAACCCACCCCUGCGGAGGACUCCAGAGUUUUCUGUGUUUGCAGAAACUGCACCAGAGGAGGCAGACUCAUGAGGGCUCGCUCUGCGCAGUGGAGACAGAAUUUGGGGGCCAAUCACCAUGCAAGCGGUCCGGGCAGAGCUCUGUCCAACUGCGGACUGCACGUGGGCUGGUUCUCUUCGAUGCGGAUGCAGGCGGCUAAUGCAGACAGGUCUUGGGGACCGAGGGACGCUUGAAAGGGCUUCAGGUAAAGAUCACCAAUGAACUUUGGGGGCCACAGCCUGCGAUGGCGUCCCACGUGGAGUUGCGGGG